Molecule: ribosomal RNA, 488 nt
Filed under: uncultured bacterium
Lineage: Bacteria
Description: bacterial SSU rRNA
Rfam family: Bacterial small subunit ribosomal RNA
Source: RNAcentral
AACGCUGGCGGCAGGCCUAACACAUGCAAGUCGAACGGUAGCACAGGAGAGCUUGCUCUCUGGGUGGCGAGUGGCGGACGGGUGAGUAAUGCAUGGGGAGCUGCCCAAUCGAGGGGGAUACCAGCUGGAAACGGCUGCUAAUACCGCAUACGCCCUGAGGGGGAAACGGUGGGGACCUUCGGGCCUACCGCGAUUGGAUGCACCCAUGUGGGAUUAGCUAGUUGGUGAGGUAACGGCUCACCAAGGCGACGAUCUCUAGCUGGUCUGAGAGGAUGACCAGCCACACUGGAACUGAGACACGGUCCAGACUCCUACGGGAGGCAGCAGUGGGGAAUAUUGCACAAUGGGGGAAACCCUGAUGCAGCCAUGCCCGCGUGUGUGAAGAAGGCCUUCGGGUUGUAAAGCACUUUCAGUGGGGAGGAAGGGAUGAUGUCUAAUACGCAUUGUCAUUGACGUUACCCACAGAAGAAGCACCGGCUAACUCCGUG